This 667-nucleotide ribosomal RNA is filed under the name uncultured fungus. RNAcentral's name for it is "eukaryotic LSU rRNA". It matches the Rfam family "Eukaryotic large subunit ribosomal RNA", at positions 24 to 664 of the family's 3401-position model. The record is from RNAcentral. Lineage: Eukaryota; Fungi.
CCCGCUGAACUUAAGCAUAUCAAUAAGCGGAGGAAAAGAAACUAACAAGGAUUCCCCUAGUAACUGCGAGUGAAGCGGGAAAAGCUCAAAUUUAAAAUCUGGUGGUCUUUGGCCAUCCGAGUUGUAAUUUAGAGAAGCGUCUUCCGCGCUGGACCGUGCACAAGUCUCCUGGAACGGAGCGUCGUAGAGGGUGAGAAUCCCGUCUUUGGCACGGACACACCAGGGCUUCUGUGAUGCGCUCUCAAAGAGUCGAGUUGUUUGGGAAUGCAGCUCAAAAUGGGUGGUGAACUCCAUCUAAAGCUAAAUAUUGGCGAGAGACCGAUAGCGAACAAGUACCGUGAGGGAAAGAUGAAAAGCACUUUGGAAAGAGAGUGAAACAGUACGUGAAAUUGUUGAAAGGGAAACGCUUGAAGUCAGUCGCGUCGACCGAGACUCAGCCUCGCCUUGGCUUGGUGUACUUCUCGGCUGACGGGUCAGUGUCAAUUUUGGGCCUCGGAUAAUGACAAGGGAAAGGUGGCACCUUUAUAGGUGUGUUAUAGUCUCCUGUCGGAUGCGAGGGUCGGGAUUGAGGAACUCAGCACGCGCCUUUUGGUGUCGGGGCUUCGGCCUACGCUACGUGCUUAGGAUGCUGGCAUAAUGGCUUUAAACGACCCGUCUUGAAACACGG